ACGGUGAGUAUGUCUGGGAACUGCCUGAUGGAGGGGAUACUACUGAAAGGUUUGCUCAUACGUAUAUCGUCGGCAGACCUACGAGGGGACCUUCGGGCCUCUUGCCAUUCUAGAUGUGCCAGAUGGGAUAGCUGUAGUGGGGUACGGCUCACUAGCAACUAUCCCUAGCUGGUCUGAGAGGAUGACCACCCACUGGAACUGAACACGGUCCACACUCCUACGGGAGGCACAGUGGGGAAUAUUGCCAUGGGCGCAGCCUGAUGCAGCCAUGCCCGCGUGUUUGANGAAGGCCUUCGGGGUUGUAAAGUACUUUCAUGCGGGGUAGGAAGGUGUUGUGGUUAAUAACCACAGCGANAUUGACGUUACCCGCAAAGGAAGCACCGGCUAACUCCGUGCCAGCAGCCGCGGUAAUACGGAGGGUGCAAGCGUUAAUCGGAAUUACUGGGCGUAAAGCGCACGCAGGCAGUCCUGUCAAGUCGGAUGUGAAAUCCCCGGGGCUCAACCUGGGAACUGCAUUCGGAAAACUGGCAGGCUAAGUCUUGUAAGGGGGGGUAAAAUUCCACGGUGUAGCGGUGUAAAUUGCUGUAGAGAUCUGGAGGA
RNAcentral lists this ribosomal RNA (600 nucleotides) under uncultured bacterium. RNAcentral describes it as "bacterial SSU rRNA". It matches the Rfam family "Bacterial small subunit ribosomal RNA", at positions 100 to 705 of the family's 1533-position model. The record is from RNAcentral.